ACCACUCCUGGUGUAGUGGAUAUGGUAUCCGCCUUGCGAUCGGGAGGUCAUGGGUUCGAUCCCCAAUGUGGUA
RNAcentral lists this transfer RNA (73 nucleotides) under Dreissena polymorpha. Its description in RNAcentral is "tRNA-Ala". The record is from RNAcentral. Lineage: Eukaryota; Metazoa; Mollusca; Bivalvia; Myida; Dreissenidae.